UACGUAGGGAGCAAGCGUUGUCCGGAAUCAUUGGGCGUAAAGCGCGCGUAGGCGGCCCGAUAAGUCCGCUGUGAAAGUCAACGGCUCAACUGUUGGAUGCCGGUGGAUACUGUCGGGCUAGAGUACGGAAGAGGCAAGUGGAAUUCCUGGUGUAGCGGUGGAAUGCGCAGAUAUCAGGAGGAACACCUAUAGCGAAGGCAGCUUGCUGGGACGUUACUGACGCUAAGGCGCGAAAAGCGUGGGGAGCGAACGAGG
Molecule: ribosomal RNA, 255 nt
Filed under: uncultured bacterium
Lineage: Bacteria
Description: partial 16S ribosomal RNA
Rfam family: Bacterial small subunit ribosomal RNA
Source: RNAcentral